This 553-nucleotide ribosomal RNA is filed under the name Thermotogales bacterium Apb9. Its description in RNAcentral is "bacterial SSU rRNA". It matches the Rfam family "Bacterial small subunit ribosomal RNA", at positions 369 to 917 of the family's 1533-position model. The record is from RNAcentral. Lineage: Bacteria; Thermotogati; Thermotogota; Thermotogae; Thermotogales.
GCAUGGGGGGAACCCUGAUCCAGCGACGCCGCGUGGAGGAAGAAGUCCUUCGGGACGUAAACUCCUGAACUUACCGAACAAUAAGGAUGGUAGGGAAUGGCCAUCUGAUGAGGGUAGGUAAGGAAAAGCCCCGGCUAACUACGUGCCAGCAGCCGCGGUAAUACGUAGGGGGCGAGCGUUGCCCGGAAUCACUGGGCGUAAAGGGGGUGUAGGCGGUCUAAUAAGUCAGAUGUAAAAGGCCCUGGCUCAACCAGGGAAAUGCGUCUGAAACUGUUAGACUUGAGGUUGCUAGAGGGAGACGGAAUUACCUGUGUAGCGGUGAAAUGCGUAGAUACAGGUAAGAAGGCCGGUGGUGAAGACGGUCUCCUGGGGCAAACCUGACGCUGAGGCCCGAAAGCUAGGGGAGCAAACCGGAUUAGAUACCCGGGUAGUCCUAGCCGUAAACGAUGCCCACUAGGUGUGAGCGGUAGUACCGUUCGUGCUGAAGCUAAGGCGAUAAGUGGGCCGCCUGGGGAGUACGUCCGCAAGGAUGAAACUCAAANGAAUUGGACGG